Molecule: non-coding RNA, 22 nt
Filed under: Arabidopsis thaliana (thale cress)
Lineage: Eukaryota; Viridiplantae; Streptophyta; Magnoliopsida; Brassicales; Brassicaceae
Source: RNAcentral
GGUAGCGGCAGUGUGCUACUGU